GGCCAGACUCCUACGGGAGGCAGCAGUGGGGAAUAUUGCACAAUGGGGGGAACCCUGAUGCAGCGACGCCGCGUGGGUGAAGGAGCACCUCGGUGCGUAAAGCCCUAUCGGCAGGGAAGAAACAGACGGUACCUGACUAAGAAGCCCCGGCUAACUACGUGCCAGCAGCCGUGGUAAUACGUAGGGGGCAAGCGUUAUCCGGAUUUACUGGGUGUAAAGGGGGCGCAGACGGCGAUGCAAGCCAGGAGUGAAAGCCCGGGGCCCAACCCCGGGACUGCUCUUGGAACUGCGUGGCUGGAGUGCAGGAGGGGCAGGCGGAAUUCCUGGUGUAGCGGUGAAAUGCGUAGAUAUCAGGAGGAACACCGGUGGCGAAGGCGGCCUGCUGGACUGCAACUGACGUUGAGGCCCGAAAGCGUGGGGAGCAAACAGGAUUAGAUACCCUUGUAAU
This 448-nucleotide ribosomal RNA is filed under the name uncultured bacterium. RNAcentral's name for it is "bacterial SSU rRNA". It matches the Rfam family "Bacterial small subunit ribosomal RNA", at positions 329 to 794 of the family's 1533-position model. The record is from RNAcentral.